Molecule: ribosomal RNA, 460 nt
Filed under: uncultured bacterium
Lineage: Bacteria
Description: partial 16S ribosomal RNA
Rfam family: Bacterial small subunit ribosomal RNA
Source: RNAcentral
CCUACGGGGGGCAGCAGUGAGGAAUAUUGGUCAAUGGACGAGAGUCUGAACCAGCCAAGUAGCGUGAAGGAUGACUGCCCUAUGGGUUGUAAACUUCUUUUAUAUGGGAAUAAAACGUUCCACGUGUGGGAUUUUGUAUGUACCAUAUGAAUAAGGAUCGGCUAACUCCGUGCCAGCAGCCGCGGUAAUACGGAGGAUCCGAGCGUUAUCCGGAUUUAUUGGGUUUAAAGGGAGCGUAGGUGGAUUGUUAAGUCAGUUGUGAAAGUUUGCGGCUCAACCGUAAAAUUGCAGUUGAAACUGGCAGUCUUGAGUACAGUAGAGGUGGGCGGAAUUCGGGGUGUAGCGGUGAAAUGCUUAGAUAUCACGAAGAACUCCGAUUGCGAAGGCAGUUCACUGGACUGCAACUGACACUGAGGCUCGAAAGUGUGGGUAUCAAACAGGAUUAGAUACCCUGGUAGUC